UUGAGUGUAUUGGGAGAGAGUAACGAAUGUUGCCGCCGAAGGAGCAAAUUCCAUAAAAUCCUUGGAAUAAAUCUCUCAGGUAAUAGGGACCAGUACAUGACG
RNAcentral lists this non-coding RNA (102 nucleotides) under Bacillus sp. (in: firmicutes). Its description in RNAcentral is "Bacillus sp. Glycine sequence". It matches the Rfam family "Glycine riboswitch aptamer". From Rfam's summary of the family: This family represents the bacterial glycine riboswitch. Lineage: Bacteria; Bacillati; Bacillota; Bacilli; Caryophanales; Bacillaceae. The record is from RNAcentral. RNAcentral also lists the same sequence under 1 other name.